Molecule: microRNA precursor, 84 nt
Filed under: Echinops telfairi (small Madagascar hedgehog)
Lineage: Eukaryota; Metazoa; Chordata; Mammalia; Afrosoricida; Tenrecidae
Description: miRNA (ENSETEG00000022434.1)
Rfam family: mir-684 microRNA precursor family
Source: RNAcentral
GGAGGGCACUCUGGCUUUAAGUAGAGGAAAUUACUCUCCAAGAAAGGAAGCCUAGAUAGUUUUCCCUUCAAGUCAAGCGUCUUG